UGGGGGAUAUUGCACAAUGGUCGAAAGCCUGAUGCAGCGACGCCGCGUGGGGGAUGAAGGCCUUCGGGUUGUAAACUUCUUUUGCUCUGAACAAGGCAUGCUAAUGGGUGUGUUGAGUGUAGGGGUUGAUUAGCGCCGGCUAACUACGUGCCAGCAGCCGCGGUAAUACGUAGGGCGCGAGCGUUGUCCGGAAUUAUUGGGCGUAAAGGGCUUGUAGGUGGCUGGUUGCGUCUGUCGUGAAAGCUCAUGGCUUAACUGUGGGUUUGCGGUGGGUACGGGCUGGCUUGAGUGCAGUAGGGGAGGCUGGAAUUCCUGGUGUAGCGGUGGAAUGCGCAGAUAUCAGGAGGAAUACCGGUGGCGAAGGCGGGUCUCUGGGCUGUUACUGACACUGAGGAGCGAAAGCAUGGGGAGCGAACAGG
Molecule: ribosomal RNA, 419 nt
Filed under: bacterium
Lineage: Bacteria
Description: partial 16S ribosomal RNA
Rfam family: Bacterial small subunit ribosomal RNA
Source: RNAcentral